AAUGUAUCAAUAUUUUAACAAAAUUAGUUGUUAACACCAAACUACAUUAAAUGAUCAGCUGAUGCAUAGCUUUCAAAUUGACAGUGCUCACGUCAAACAUCCAUUAAAAUAAAUGGUGACAGCAAAUGAAUAAAAAUGAUUAAUCAUCUUUAUACUUACAUACUAAUGUACUCAUAAAAUUUGCUUAGCGAGAGUGAAUAGCCCUUGAAAGGUUAUUAACAUUUUAUUUAAAACGCGCAGUUAACAGAUGUUUUGCCAAAUCUUCAAAAAUUAAUAAAUUAAUAUAUUUUAACAAAUGUGAGUAAACCAAAAUAUUGUGACUUGAGUUGCAGGUGUUUGUGACAAUCGAAAUGCAAAAUAUGUACAUAUGUAUGCAUGUGUGUAUGCACAUGCAAAUCCACCAAAAGCUACAAAAAUGAAUAACAAAGUAUGAGUAAAAAUAAAUAACAGCUAAAAAUAAAUUCGAGAAGAGCACGAAAAGAAAAUAUAAUUGAGAAUUCUCAAUGCAUCAAUGCUUAUUUGCAUAGAGCACGCAAGCGAAUUUAUCGUUCGUUUGCCUAAAGAAUUGUAAAGAUUAAUACACACAUACUUAUGUAUGUAUAAACAAAAAAUCAAGGAAACAAAAAAAAAAGAUCUGAGGACGCCGUCACUGCGGCCACGGAUAUUUGGUCAAAAAGCGUGUUUCGUGUUACGGUGUAAUUAAAGUGAGAACAAUAAAGUGUUACACAAGUGUCGAGAAUAAUAAUAACAAUAAUGAAAAUAUUGUGCACAAACAACAACAAAUAAAUAAAGCACAUAUAAAAAUUUAUAUUACACGCGACGGCAUUGACGACGAGACAAAUAGAAUUUUGCUGCCAUUCAUUGCUCCCCGGCACGUAAUACUAUUCAGGCUAACCACACAAAAAAUUUCAUAUCCCGUCGUCGUCGUAGUCGUCAUCGGCGGCGACAUUCGACGUUCUCAUCGUUGCCAUCAGCAUACAAAAAAGAUCUCUGCAAUAACAGCCAAAUACUCGAUUAAUGUAUACAACAACAGAAGGGAGAACCGACCGACCGACCAGCCAGUCAACCAAACAACACACAACAACAGCACAACAACAUGACAGCAGCAGCCGUAAACAGUACAAACACACACGUAAUCACAUACAUACAUGCACAGUCAACGUUAUAAGAACGGUGUGGUAAAAAGGAAGUGACGAAAAAAGGACCAUUCUAAUAAAAACACUCUACUUAUGAAAUGCCUCAGUCACACAGGAGAAUAUUUGAUACUGAUAUUACUGAAGUCCUUGUGAACCCAUUCCUCGUACGAUAAUUAAAAUUGCCAAAGCACCGAUUUGUGCCAAAUGUCAACCCCUUUAUAUUUGCUAAGCGAAACAAAUUGAAUACUUCGCAUUUAGAUAUCAAAGCGACACUAAAACUCAAAAAGCUACUCAUUCGUCCGGAAUCAUGCCAGCAGUUGAGGCACUUUUUUUCGGCACUUUCGCAGACAGCACAUAACUCCGUUAUUUUUCAAUAUUUUUGUAAAAAAAAAAAUGUGAAUAUAGCUAAAAAUAUACU
Bactrocera neohumeralis is the source of this 1554-nucleotide long non-coding RNA. RefSeq lists it as uncharacterized. The transcript has 4 exons. Lineage: Eukaryota; Metazoa; Arthropoda; Insecta; Diptera; Tephritidae. The record is from RefSeq and is a predicted model, not a curated record.